This 229-nucleotide ribosomal RNA is filed under the name uncultured bacterium. RNAcentral's name for it is "partial 16S ribosomal RNA". It matches the Rfam family "Bacterial small subunit ribosomal RNA", at positions 568 to 796 of the family's 1533-position model. The record is from RNAcentral.
UUCGCAGGCUGUUCAAUAAGUCAGUGGUGAAAUCUCUCGGCUCAACCGAGAAACUGCCAUUGAUACUGUUGAACUUGAAUAUAGUUGGAGUAGGCGGAAUGUGUAGUGUAGCGGUGAAAUGCUUAGAUAUUACACAGAACACCGAUAGCGAAGGCAGCUUACUAAACUAUUAUUGACGCUCAUGAACGAAAGCGUGGGGAGCGAACAGGAUUAGAUACCCUGGUAGUCC